Cuculus canorus (common cuckoo) is the source of this 3144-nucleotide RNA transcript. It is a transcript of the gene named RAD51 paralog B, with no coding region annotated. The record is from RefSeq and is a predicted model, not a curated record. The transcript is spliced from 13 exons. NCBI's taxonomy places the organism in Eukaryota, Metazoa, Chordata, Aves, Cuculiformes, Cuculidae.
UGUUGUGCUUCGGGAUUGCUUCUGUGUGCGGCUCCCACCCCAAAAUGACAGCUUUCCCUUUUAUUUUAUUUCCCCCAGUUUAAAUUAGUCUCAAGGUGUUUGUACUUGUUCCGGGUUUGGUUAUGGAAAAACGUUCGGACUAGCUGAAUUCUGUCGAGAUGGAAAAAUCUUGAUUCCUUCUGUUCCCCAUCCUUUGCGCAGGGGUUUUGAAGAUGGUCUCUAGGAUGCUCAGGAUGCUUGGAGGCUGCCCGGCAUCCCGGGAUGGAGCUGGAGCUUACGCUGUGCCUUCCUAGACAGCUUUUGGCUUUGCUGGUCCCGAACUAUGAGGGGAAUACAAAUCAUAGAAUCAUAGAAUAGUUUGGGUUAGAAGGGACCUUAAAGAUCAUCCUGUUAAUCCUCCCGAUUACACGGCAGAAGCGACGAAACUCUGUCAGAUGAAAUGUUUAGCGUCGUUCUCUGACAUAAUUUGUUUGACAGGUUUGUCCUGCUUCCCUCUUAAUUCUGAGGAAAAAGCGGUCCCUGCAGGAGUUAGAAUUUUUUGCAGGUGAGGUGGUAAUGGCUCCAUGACUGCCAGAGCUGUGAGCGGUGAGGAUUUGGAAGGACAGAUUGCCCAAAGAGCUCUGUUCUGCCAUUUCCAGGAACACAAAUACAUUAUUGCUUGUACAGCUUCAGUUAGGGAUGGGGCUGUCUGCUGUUUGGUGGUAAAGAGGAAGUGCUGAAAAGAAAAAUUACCAUAAAAUUGUUAGAAAACAGGAAGGGAAAACUUAUUAACAUGGAAUCAUUGAUGCCUGUAGCCACUUUUGGCCAGCACUCAGGAAAGCCCUGUAGGAAUUCUGUCUCCAAGACACUCUGAUGAUCGUGGCACGUCCAGAAGGUCCCCGUGAGAAGGAAGGCUGUCUGGUUGGUGUAUUAGCUGUUGGCCGCACACACCUGGUCAGAAAUCGUCUGGCAUCUGAAACGGCUCGGACUUGCUGGAGGCAAUUUGGUCGACCUGCAGAUGCUGUGAAUCAGGAGCUGACCAAGAAGCGGAAGAGCUCCAGGAUUCCUCCCAGGAAAAGUAGGCUGGGGAGCAUGGCCACUAAGAAACUAAGAAGAGCAAAGUUGUCUCAGGAGCUGUGUGAAAGGCUGAGUCGCCAUCAGAUCACUACCUGUCAGGACUUUUUAUGUCUUUCACUCUUGGAGCUAAUGAAAGUGACCGGACAGAGCUACUAUGAUGUACAGAAGCUUCUUCGUAAAGUCAGCCGAGCUUGUGCUCCCAAAAUGCAGACAGCUUAUGAAAUGAAAAUGAGGAAUUCUGUCAAUCCCUCUUCAGCCUUUCUAUCCACCACGCUGCAUGGUUUAGAUCAAGUCUUGCAAGGUGGAGUGCCUUGUGGAUCCCUCACAGAGAUAACUAGCCCGCCAGGUUGUGGCAAAACUCAAUUUUGUAUGAUGAUGAGUGUUCUGACUACACUGCCAGUAAGCAUGGGAGGACUAGAUGGGGCUGUUAUAUACAUUGACACAGAAUCUGCAUUCAGUGCUGAAAGGUUGGUUGAGAUAGCAGGAAACAGAUUCCCUACUUACUUUGACUCAGAUGAAAAGCUGUUCUGCAUGACUCGUAGCAUUCACCUGUAUCAAGAGCUGACCUGUGGCAGUGUACUGAAAAGGAUUAUGUCUUUGGAAGAAGAAAUUAUUUCAAAGAAAGUUAAACUCAUAAUAAUUGACUCUGUUGCUUCAGUUGUUAGAAAGGAGUUUGACACAAAACUCCAAGGCAACCUGGUAGAGAGAAGUAACUUUUUGGCUAGAGAAGCAUCAGUGUUGAAGUAUUUGGCAGAGGAGUUCUCAAUACCAGUUAUCUUGACGAAUCAAAUUACCACAUCGUUGAGCAAUCGCAUUUCGAUCCAGGCAGACCUGGUGUCUCCAGCUGAUGAUUUGUCCCUGUCUGAAGGAGCUUCUGGAAGUGGGAAAGCUGGUUGUGUGACAGCAGCCCUUGGCAACACGUGGAGUCACAGCGUCAACACCAGGCUCAUACUACAGUAUCAUGACUUUCCGACAAGACAGCUCCUGGUUGCUAAAUCCCCUGUUGCUCCAUUCUCCGCUUUUUUCUACACUAUUGAGAAAUCAGGCUUGGUUCUUCAAGCUCUUUAUCCAGUCAAAGGAGAGAGAGAGAAAGGGAACAACGUGAAAAUACUGCUCGGUAUAGACAUAUUAAGAUGUUUGUAGAAGACCUCCUGGGACUUCUUUUGCCUUUUAUGGCUUGAAAUCUCGGCCCCUUAGUGAACAGCAGUGGAUUUCACAAGUUCAUUGGAUGACUCUGGAGUUCUGCUACUUCACUGGGUGACGUUGCUCAAGUCAAAACCAAGACACUUUAAAAGAGAGAAAGGAGCUGGUGAAGAGUUGCAUAUGGAAAGGAUCAAAUAAAUUUAACCUUGGAAGGAACCAAUCCUGCCCUACAGAACAUACGAGUGAGGAACACUGCCUUGAAAGACACUCUUUGAUGCAGCUUUACCCAGCACUAAUGAUGAGACUCUGAGCAAUACAUCCAAUCUAUAGAAAAGGACAAAUGAAGCCUUCAUUAAGAAAAGAAUGAAUGACAAGUCUGGUUUUCUAAAAUUCAGUGAAGCACAUAGCUUCUCUCUUCUUUUGUCUCUCUAAAGACCAACUUUAAAACUAGGUGCUUUUUUUUGUAUGUGCGGGACCAUACUUAAUUCUGAACUUAUGAAUAUCCUGUAUUUUGUUCAGGUUAAUUUGAGUGACAUAAUAAUAAAAGCUUCUGAACAAUGUACAUGCUGCUGAAGAAGCAUAGACCACACAUGUCUUUCUGAUUCACCCCACCACCUCCCAGGUCUGUAGGAACUGACAAUCAAACACACUUGGUGUCCAGAGUCCAUAACAGACUCAAAUGUUUGCUUCUGCUUUUUCAGAGAAAUUAUAAACCCACUCAUUAUCUUGAUUAAGAAGCGAUAGUUCAGUGAGCUCUUAUUUCUGUAACUCAGUUGAAAUCAUUGGAGAUGAUAUAACAGAGUUGCUAAUAGCUGGGCUCUGACAGUUCAGAAUGGAAGAACAGGUAGCAAUCCCGAAGGUGGGAACCUGGGUGAGUAUUACAGCUGCUUAGCUUCCUCUGUCUUCAAAGCACUUUUAGAGUAUUCACAAUGUGACUGCAAAUCA